Molecule: long non-coding RNA, 1493 nt
Filed under: Toxoplasma gondii VEG
Lineage: Eukaryota; Apicomplexa; Conoidasida; Eucoccidiorida; Sarcocystidae
Source: RNAcentral
AUCUGCAGUGUCGUUUUGCCUACAGAAUAAUUUUCUAGCUCUUAAAAGCAUUUUCGCGUGGGUGCAUGGUGAGGCUAGGCAGGGCAAGGGGUGACAGCGGGGCACGGUUUUCUCAGGCAAAGGUCACUCUUAGUCUUUCGGCAGAGUGCUCUCGCGUACUCGUGGGAGCGCUGAUUUUUGCAUGACAGCGACGUGGGGGUUCGUGUUUUUCGUGUUCUUUUCAAGCGCCUCUGCCAAAUACCUUAAACCUGCUUGCCACCAGUCUGUAAGUCGUCGUCAACUUUCAGGGAGAACAUCGGUAAGAAGGAAGCGGUAUCUCUUUCGGGGUAAAGAGCUCGGUCCCGUCUGCGUAAAUGAGUAACAUAGCAAACAACCGGCUGUCCGCGGAAAAGAAAGCAAGCGGUAUCCAGGUGGCGGGGGAACUAAUUAUACGACGCGACAAGUUUCUCCCUCAGCAGUUGUUGCGAGGAGUCAAAGAAGACCGCGGUGACGUACUGGUGUUUGCUUCAAUCAGAUCAGUGGCUACGAAAGGGGCAACGACGAUGUGGUGAUAGACUACAAUGCCACUAUUUAAAUCUGUCACGUCCCGUUAUCCAUUGAAAUUGGUAAGAAACUAUAUGUGUCUCAGGGACUAACCAUAGAACAAUGUGUCGACCUACUCAUGUCUGUCUGAUUCAGAUCAGCGACCCUGCAGGAGGCCGCCAUGACACCGCUGAUCUGGUGAUGAUAGCUGCGUUACAAAUGUCUAAAUAUCUAACUUCCCACUCUUUUUUGGAAUUGAUGAAGACCUAUCUGGGUACAUCUGGUGCGUCACGGAGUACAGCAACGUCGAGCAUGCCAAAACAAAGUUAACACCAGAUCGAACGCAACGGCAAAAUUAACGCGUAGAGUGCGUUCUAUCAAAGCCGAUUAACACGCAAUCUGACAGCUUAACAUCAUCAUGCUGAAUUAUCGGAACCUCAUCCAAGCAAUAAUGGCAUCAAAGCAGCUCGAACGCACAAGCUCGUCGAAUGGUGUCGUGGUUUUCCACCGCUGAAGAGGCACAACAUGUAUGUUCCACAUUGCUGCAGCAAGACUGUUUGUCCCGCACUUGCACGUCACGCCGUGUAUUGUACAAUCAGUUUACGACUUCAUCUCUUCAUUUGCAUAAACUCCCGACGCCGAACGCUUGCGGGCAUCACCCUAGCGUUCAAACCUUCUUCAGAAGCAUCUUGUGUUUUUCAUAGUCCGAGUCUAGUCAGAAGGGCACCAAGAUGAUAAAUUAAAGAGGUCUGAGUUGUAUGCGCCAUUUGCCCAAGUGGACACUUGAAGCCUGUGCUUCCUCGAUCUGACCAGCGUGUCUAAGUCUAUGUUCGGCACUAAAAAUACCAAACAUCUGAGAUUGGUGACGGGCUGGGGAAGAAACGACAUCAGCGUCAUGACCAGACUCGUUUGUCGCAGCGAGCGUUUCUCUGACUUGUAUCCUUGGGACGCUGAAGGCUCGGCAAGGAGAG